GCGUGGAGCACUGGCUCUCGGCGUGUGUGCCCAGGACAGGCGCGACCCCGCGCCCUAGAUAGCGUGGAAAGCUGGCUCACCGCGACCCCUGCGCCCCUGCUUUGCUGCCCAGCGUCGUCUCGCCCUUGCGUAGAUCGUCUCCAAGAAGCUCGCCGGAGCAGGCAGCAACGUCAGCCGCCGGCUGCCCGGUUCAUCGUGUCCGGAGCCAACCCAACCGAAUCGACAGGACCACGAGUUUCUCCACACCGAGCGGCACCUGCCCCGCCUCUCCUCAUCGCCCCUCCCCGUGGGAGCACCGCCGUCCUCGGACAGCAACGUCGGCCGCCGCAUGCCACCAAAAUCCGGCCAUCCUUAUGCUCCUCCACGCCGAAGAAACGCAAUUCGAGAGCUCUAAAGAUUAAGAGAUGUAAGAACAAGUGUUGAAGACUUUGAGCAGCUAUUCUUUGGAAUAAAGGAAGUAUAUUCGUUGAUCAUAUUUCAUCUCAAUAACCUUUAUUUAUAUUUACGCUUGUAUGCAUUAAUUUGAUGGGUCCUAUUUAUCCACAUUUGAUAUCCUUAUCCUUGAAAGCUGGGUUAUUUAAAUCAUGCUGUGUAGUUUGCUUAGUUGCUGAAUAAUGGUUGCGGGUGGUUUAUGAGCUCAAUACUUGAUAAUUGGCUUAUUUACUGGAACCACUAUGAUGAACUGAUCAUGAUGAUUAAUUUAAACUAUGGAGCUACCACCUGAAAAAACAGUGCAACCGCAAGGUAUAUGGCUCUGGUGUUGGAUAAUUAAUUUGAUGCCUCUAGCUUGUUGGUAGUUUACCAAAAGGCGCAUGGGGGCCCUCUGAUGAGGGGUUCGCUGCCUGCUAAGGGUGUACGUAUAGCUAUGGUCACGUCUCUGGGGAGGUUCCCUCACGCAACUGCUAAAACCUUAGCGGGCUACCACUGAUUAGGGAGUCUUUGUAAAGCCGUCGUAGUGAAUCUCUGCCACUCACCUCGCAAGUGUUUAAGGGCCUUGCAAAUCCGGUCAUCAACGGAUAAAUGACUUGUGGGUAAAGUGUGCAACCUCUGUAGAGUGUAAAACUGAUAUAUUAGCUAUGCUCACGGUCAAGAAUGGCUCCGACCCUCACAUGACUUAAUUAAAUGGAACUUGUAUUUUAUUCAGUUGUUUAAUGUUUUCAAGCUUCAUUUAUCUAUUUAGUUAUCUUUAUUUUUCAUAAAUAUGGGCAAUUUCACUUAUGGCUUAGUAAAUAGGUUGUUUAAUGUUUAACUGUUCAAUAAAAUACUUACAGCUUUAUUCAGCCAACCUUUAUCUUUGUUUAAGCCUUGCAUGUCAUCUAUUUUCUAAUAUAUUUGCUGAAUACCAACCAUAAGUGUACUCACACUUGCUAAAACCACUGCUCAGAAGAGAAAAUUGUUGUGAAAUUUUCUGAAGAUGUUGCUGAGUUUUAGACGUACGCAACCCCUGGUGGAUUGCCUAUGAAGUGUGGAGCCGACGUUUCCAGUAGAAGUUGUAUAUCUGUGAUAGAUUUUUUAGUUGUUGUAAGUCUUUUUUCAUGAUAUUGUUGCUCAUUAUUCCAUUAUGACGUCGCUAUAUAUAUGAAACUUAAUCGUGGUAUAAAUUAGUUAUGCAUUCAGUUUUGUAUUAAAAAUCGGGUGUGAUAGAGUGGUAUCCGAGCCGUGUCGACCGUACAACGUAAGCCUAGGUAGCAAUGGUAGUUUUCUAAUAUCUUCCUUAAUCUAAAAGUCAUUCUUAACAUUUCCUUGACCUAUGCUUUUCACCUGAUCUCUUGUUUUGGCCUAUUUAUCUCCUCCUAAACCUUAUUUUCAGUCUCUCAAUUCAUUCUAGUUCACCUCGUAGUCACCUUGAAGAAUGGAGGUACAUCAUUCUAGUUCACCUCGUAGUCACCUUGAAGAAUGGAGGUACAAGAAGUCAAGCCUAAAGAAGCUGAUCACUACUCUGGAUGAUCUCGAAGACUUGAGCAAAGGUUGCUAACAUCUGGCGGCAUAACACAUGCUUAGGAGGAUUCCUUAUGACCUUAAUAACAACGACUCGUGCCUACAGUAACAUGUUCUUUCCAUCGAUACCUCAUCAAGCUAUCUUCUCAUUCAAAUGGAAAGCAAACAUAGAAGAUUUGAAGCCAAAUAUCUCUUAGUCCCUCUCUCUACCACUAUCCUCUUCCCUUCUCAUUAGAAUCCUUUGCCCUAUUUCUUCUGCUUACCCCUAGACUUUCCGAAUCUCGGGAUGCGAUUCUAUUUAAGGGGAUAGUUUUGUCACACCCCAAAAUUCUAAUUUUGUGAUGUGAAUACUUUUUUUCAAAUUUAUUCAUCUAUCCUUUAGUUUUUGCUGAAAACUAUUCACAAUUUAUAGAGCUUAUUCCUUUUUCCUCCCGAAGAAAAGCUCCUUUCUUUUCUUUCUUCUUUCUUUUUCCUCCUCUCUCUCUUUUCCUUUCUUGUUUUUUUUCUUCGCUACGCUGGCCCAAUCUUUUUCUUUUUCUUUUUCUGGUCACCCCUCCGACGGCCCACACUCAGCCCAUGAGGCCAUCUCACCCUCCUGCCCUCUGGCGCAGCACGCCAGCGCCGCCGCCGCCAAUUUCUCGGCGUGUGUGCCCAGAGCAGGCGCGACCCCGCGCCCUAGAUAGCGUGGAGUGCUGGCUCUCCGCGACCCCUGCGCCCCUGCUUUACUACACAGCGUCGUCUCGCCCUUGCGUAGAUCGUCGCCAAGAAGCUCGCCGGAGCAGGCAGCACCGUCGGCCGCUGGCUGCCCGGUUCAUCGCGUCCGAAGCCUCCCCGACCGAAUCGACAGCACCACAAGUUUCUACACACCGAACGGCACCUGCCCCGCCUCUCCUCGUCGCCCCUCCACCGCGGGAGCGCCGGCGUCCUCGGACAGCAGCGCCGGCCGCCGCACGCCUCAAAAAUCCAGCCAUCCUCGUGGUCCUCCGCGCUGAAUAAACACAGUUUGAGAUCUCUGAAGAUUGGGAGAUGCAAGAACAAGUGUUGAAGACUUUAAGCAGCUUUUCUUUGGAAUAAAGGCAAGUAUAUUUCUUAAUCAUAUUUUAUCCUAAUAACCUUUAUUUAUAUUUACGCUUGCAUGCAUUAAUUUGAUGGGUACUACUUUAUCCAUAUUUGAUAUCCUUGUUCUUGAAUGAAAGCCAGGUUAUUUAAAUCAUGCUGGGCAGUUUGCUUAGUUGCUCAACAAUGGUCACGGAUGGUUUAUGAGCUCAAUAGUUCAUAUUUAGCUUAUUUAUUGGAACCACUAUGAUGAACUGAUCAUGAUAGUUAAUUUAAACCAUGGAGCGACCACCUGAGAAAACAGUGCAACCACAAGGACUAUGGACUAUAUGGUUCUGGUCUUCACUAAUUAAUUAGAUAUCUCUGUCUUGUUGUUAGCUUACUGAAAGGCCCACGGGGAGCCUAUGAUGAGGGGCUCACUACCUACUAAGGAUGGACGCAUGGCUAUGGUCACGUCUUCGGAGAGGUUCACUCACGCAGCUGCUGAAACCUUAGCGGGCUACCACUAGUUAGAGAGUUUUUGUAAAGAUCUCGUAGUGAAUCCCUGCCACUCACCUUGAAAGUGUUUAAGAGCCUUGCAAACUCGGGCAUCAAGGGAGACACGACUUGUGCGUAAAGUGUACAACCUCUACAAAGUGUAAAACUGAUAUAUCAACCGUGCUCACAGUCAAGAGCAGCUCGGACCCUCACAUGACUUAAUUAAAUGGAAUUUAUAUUUUAUUCAGUUGUUUAAUAUUUUCAAGCUUCAUUUAUUUACUCAGUUAUCUUUGGUUUUUAUAAAUGUGGGCAAUUUCACUAAUGUCUUAGUAAAUAGGUUAUUUAAUGUUUAACUAUUCAAUAAAAUGCUUACAGCUUUAUUCAGCCAACCUUUAUCUUGUUUAAGCCUUGCAUGUCAUCUAUUUUCUAAUAUAUUUGCUGAGUACCAAUCAUAAGUGUACUCACAGUUACUAAAAUUGCUGCUUAGAAGAGAAAGUUGCUGUGAAGUUUUCUGAAGAUGAUGCUGAGUUCUAGGCGUACACAACCCCAGAUCGAUUGCCUGUGAAGUAUGGAGCUGACGUUUCCAGUAGAAGUUGUAUAUCUCUAAUAGACUUUUUAGUCAUUGUAAGUCUCUUUUUCAUGACAUUGUUGCUUAUUAUACCAUUAUGACAUCGUUAUAUGUAUGAAAUUUGAUCCUGAUAUACAUAUAGUUAUGCAUUUGGUUUUAUAUUAA
Molecule: long non-coding RNA, 4204 nt
Organism: Panicum hallii
Lineage: Eukaryota; Viridiplantae; Streptophyta; Magnoliopsida; Poales; Poaceae
Exons: 4
Source: RefSeq, a predicted model, not a curated record